AAACCAUUACAAGAUGGGUUUCCGAUUACCUUCUAUUAGACGUGCUUCUUUUAUAGGUAGCCAAGCAUCGUCAAAAACUUUGAAUUGCCAAAAGGUUAUCUUGCUGUGUAUGUUGGAGAGAAAUGAAGCGCUUUGUUAUUCCUAUGUCUUACUUGAACCAACCUUCAUUUCAAGACUUGUUGCAUGCAGCUGAGAAGAAUUCGGAUAUGAUCAUCCGAUGGGCGGCCUCACAUUCCUUGCACGCAGAUGUUUUCUUGCAUAUUACUCUCCGCUUCAAUGGACUAUGAAACUCUAGCUGCAAGAUACUGACAAUUAGGAUUAGCAGUGACAUUUUGUACAACAGUCACAUAUUUAUAUUUGUAUAGAUUUUCCUUUCCGCUACUUUUUGGGAAUGGUAGAAUUGUCCAUCUGAAUGACAAAUUCAGGAAACAAAAUAUUGUGUUAUAUUUAUUUCUAAUCAUAAUGAAAUAAUAUUCAACAACGAGACGGUUUGCCUAUAUGCUUCUUAUUUAUAAAUUCUAAUACAGAAAUAUAUUGUUUUAAUGUAAAAAUCAGUUCGCAAUCAGUAAUAAUUUCUAGUUUAAGGCCAGUGUGUUAUCAUUAUAUCAACCAAUUAUUCUAACAUUUAUCGGGCCUAGUUAAUUAUUAGCCGAACAUAAUUGUAGAUAAGUUAGCCUUUUAUCCUAAGUUAUAAUUUUUUUACACACCUUAUGAUUCUAUUCUAUCAACUGCUUCUUCAUCUUAGGCAAGAGGGCAAAAUGAAACUGAGAUAAGUUGCAAGGACAGUAAAUGUUUGUUUGUCUUUCGGGCGAAGUUGUUUGACGCACAAGCAGCUCUGAUUAAGGGAAGCUUUGAGUUAUGUUAUUUACUGAAUCAUGUUUAACUGCCCAUUUUAUGUGUUAGAGUUUUGGCUAAGAAAGAAACUAGCAAUAGAAGACUUUCAUAAUUUGGAUCAAUAAGUGGUAAGCCCUGACUCCUAUUAUUUGAUGUUUAUCUUCAAUUUGAGGCUCUAAAUAUAUGUCUCCAAUAGAUGCUCUCCGCUUAUAGUGCUCUGCUCAGUCUCUGUUAAUUAGCUCCGUAAAACAAUGAACUGCAUGGCAUGUAAUUUUGAGACUGUGAUAUAUUUUGAUUUAAGAAAGGAAUACUAAAUUAUUGGAGACUGAGAUAAUCUUUUGUUAGUAAUGUAAUAGACAGUUCCAUUAAAUUGGGGCAUGGCUUCAUUGACUUGUGUUUGUGCAUGCAACACAAGUAUUUAAGAUCGAGAUUAAAACAACAGAGAAUUCAUCAGAGUAUGAAUUUGGUUUGUUUUAGCUUUAAUUAACACGUCUCUAGUACUAAUAAAUAUUAGUUUGAUUAGAUGAGUUCCAAAAACAACGGAUGAAUUCACAAAAAAUAUAGUUUUGAUUAGAUUCCCUCAUUUCAUAUUUCCCACUUAGAGGAAACAUCAAAAUUGACAGGAAUUCCUGAAUGUACAAAAAUUGUCUCCACUAACUUAGAUCUACACUGUUUCUAUGCUAACCAUUCAUUAUGCAUUUUUUGCCGUAUGAAUUCUUAUAGGUUGUUCAAGCAAGAAACUGUAUAAAUGUAAGUCGAUAUCUUCCUUGCACGGAUUGUAAGACCGCCCAUUAAGGAUGAACAGUAACCGUAUUCAAUACUCAGCUUGAUAAGCAGUUCUUGAAAUAAAGGCUCGUUCAAGAUAAGAUAAUUGGAAUCAAAACCUCCCUUGCUUUCUCUCCGACAUAACACGCAAGAUAAGCCUUUUGGGACUCACCUUGUUUGCUAGAUAAUGAUCGUCUUAUACGCAGGGUUAAGUGAAAACCCAUUCCGUUUUGUUUCUUGACAAUAGAAUGAUCUCAAAGAAGUAGGAGAAGAAAGAAAUGAACUUGAAUUCUGACGCUUCCAAGGUAUGAAUGGUUUGUGUUGCUUGUAAACCCAAUGAUGGAUAUAUAUAUAGAGAGAGUUUGAAAACCAAUUGUAUAGCGAAUGAGUUAUUGAAUGGGUGUUAGUGGGAGCCAUGGCUCAUUAAUGAUCACAUGGUACUGUCUUGAAAGCUUUCCUAGAGGACCAUAAAAUGUGAGAUUACAUACCCCACCUUUUGAAAAAGAGACUAGAGAUAGCUUACUUAAUAUAAUUCAGACAAGCUCUAGACACAUCAAAUGUCUUGUUCUUGUUUUUGUAAGACAAGUUAUAUCCAACCAAUAAACAAUGCAAUCUUCUUGGAUGCUGCUGCAACUUUGUAUGGACAGACUACGGCCACGUUGUUGAUCUAACCGUAAAAAUGUGGCUGAUAUAUCAAUUAGAUAAAUUUAAUUACUGUAGAGUCUUAAGAAAUCACUCAUUUAAUCUUUGAGAAAGACCUCUAGACACUUUCAUGUGAUCUCUUGUCAACAUUAAGCUGUGUUGGCUAUGAGAAGAGAACAUGUGACAUGUCUAAUGCAUGUCUGAAAAGAAAAUGAGUAGGUAUUGUACAAGCUAGCAUUCAGUUUAACAUAAGCCUUUCAUUCAGAAGAUUGGUUUGCACUCUAAUAGAACUUAUUGAUCCUUGACAACACCAUGUGAUCUUUCAUCUCAUGCCCCCCAUCAUUUUAAAAAUCAUUUCUCUACCAAAGGGAUUUCAAGAAACUGUUGGAAACUAUAAAUAUAGUGUUCUCCUUCACAACAAUCACAAAUCACUCGAGCAGUCAAACUUAGAUACAUUUUUCUUAUUUGACAAAUUCAGCCGGUUCUUCAAAAUAUUUGAAAUUGGUUUCCCUUUACCUUCAACUAUUAGAAAGGCAUCAUUUAGCAGCAGCCGGACUUCAACAACGAAUGGGUUCCUAUAUGCUUCUAUUUAUAAAUUCUAAAACAGAAAAUAUAUUGUUUAUCAAAAUUCAGUCCAAUCAGUAAUAAUUUUCUAGUUUUGAAGGCAGUGGUUAUCAUUAUAUCAAACCAAUUAUUCUACAUUUAUUGGCCUAAUUAAUUAUUUAGCCAAACUAUAAUUGUAGAUAAGUUACCUUGUAUCUAAGUUUAAUUUUUUUUUACACACCUUAUGAUUGUAUUCUAUCAACUGCUUCUUCAUCUAGGCUGAGCAAUGAACUGAUGAUAAGUUGCAGGUUUUGUCUGUUCGGCGAAGUUGUUUGAUUACAACGACUGUGAUUAAGGGAAGCUAAGCCAGAGCCUAGUACUUGGUUUCAACUGAUGGUCCAGCAAAACUUUGAAUUAUGUUUUUUACUUGAAAUUCAUGUUUAACUGCCCUUUUAUGUGUAGAUUUUGGCUUAACCCAGAGAACUAGCAGUAGAAGACUUUUCAUAAUUUGCUCAAUACGUGGUAAGCCUCAACUCUAUUAUUUGAUGCUUUAUCUUCAAUUUUAGGCUCUAGUUGACUGUCUCCAAUAUAUGCUCUGUUAUAUGCUCUAAAAAUAAGCAUUUUUUAUUGUCUAGUCAUUUUUCCUAAAAAUAUAAUAUUAAUUUAAAAAAGGAUACUAAAUGUAUGGAGACUGUGAUAUUAUUUUGAUUAGUAUGUAAUAGACGGUAUCCAUUAAAUUGGGGGCAUGGCUUCAUUGGCUUGUGUUUGUGCAUGCAACACAAGUAUUUAAGAUGACAUAAAAGUUAACAGAUGAAUUCAUCAAAGUAUAAUUUGGUUCCGUUUUAGGCUUUAUUUACUACCUCUCUAGUAUUAAUUAAUAUUAGUUUGAUUAGAUGAGUUCACAAAAAACAACAGAUGAAUUCACAAGAAUAUAGUUUGAUUAGAUUCUCAUUAAUAAUUUGGUUCCGUUUUAGGCUUUAUUUACUACCUCUCUAGUAUUAAUUAAUAUUAGUUUGAUUAGAUGAGUUCACAAAAAACAACAGAUGAAUUCACAAGAAUAUAGUUUGAUUAGAUUCUCAUUUCAUAUUUCCACUUAAGAGGAAACAUCAAAAUUGAUAGGAAUUCCUGAUGUACAAAAAUUGUCUCAACUAGUAAAUCUACACUGUUCUAUGCUAACAUUCAUAUGCAUUUUUUCCUGUAUGAAUUCAUUAUAGGUUGUUCAAGCAAGAAACUGUAUGUAAGAAGAUAUCUUCCUUGCACGGAAUUGUAAGCCCGCCCAUUGGAUGACAGUAACCGUAUUCCUCUUCAGCUUGGAUAAGCAAUUCUUGAAAUAAAGGCUCGUUCAAGAAUGAUAUUGGAAUCAAAAACCUCCUUGCUUUAUCUCCAACAUACACCGCAAGAUAGCCUUUUGGGACUUCCACUUGUUUGCCAGAUGAUGGUCGUCUAAUACCAAGUAAGUGAAAACCCAUUCUUGUUUUUGUUUCUUGACAAUAGAAUGAUCUUAAAGAAGUAGUAGAAGACAGAAACGAACUUGAAUUCUGACGCUUCAAGGUAUGAAUGGUUUGUGCUGCUUGUAAACCCAAUGAUGGAUAUAUAUAGAGUUUGAAAACCAAUUGUAUAGUGAAUGAGUUAUUGAAUGGAUGUUAGUGGGAGCUAUGGCUCAUUAAUGAUCACAUGGUACUGUCUUGAAGGCUUUCCUAGAGGACCAUAAAAUGUGAGAUUACAUACCCCACCUUUUGAAAAAGAGACUAGAGAUAACUUACUUAAUAUAAUUCAGACAAGCUCUAAACACAUCAAAUAUCUUGUUCUUGUUUUUGUAAGACAAGUGAUAUCCAACCAAUAAACAAUGCAAUCUUCUUGGAUGCUGCUGCAACGUUGUAUGGACAGACUACUGCCACAUUGUUGAUCUAACCGUAAAAUGUCGCUGAUAUAUCAAUUGGAUAAAUUUAAUCACUGUCGAGUCUUAAGAAAUCACUCAUUUAAUCUUUGAGAAAGACCUCUAGACAGAUUCAUGUGAUCUCUUGUCAACAUUAAGCUGUGUUGUCUAUGUGAAGAGAACAUGUGCCAUGUCUAAUGCAUGUCUGAAAAUAAAUGAGUAGGCAUUUUACAAGCUAGUAUUCAGUUUAACAUAAGCCUUUCAUUCAGAAGAUUGGUUUGAUCUCUAAUAGAACUUAUUGAUCCUUGACAAGAAACUGUUGGAAACUAUAAAAUUAGUGUCCUCCUUCACAACAAUCACAUGUUACUCAAGCAGUCAAACUUAGAUAUACAUUUUUCUUAUGUGACAAGUUCAGCCGGUUCUUCAAAAUAUUUGAAAUUGGUUUCCUUUUACCUUCAACUAUUAGAAAGGCAUCAUUUAGCAGCACCCGGACUUCAUCAAAAGUUACGAAUGUGCCGAAGGGUUAUCUUUCACUGUACGUUGGAGAGCAAAUGAAGCGGUCUGUGAUUCGGAUGUCAUAUUUGAACCAAUGGUCAGCCUCACAAUUCCUUGCACAAGAAGAUGUUUUCUUGCAUAUAACUUCUGGCUACAUUCAAUUUCACAUUCAUUCCACGUUCAAUUUGGAAGAGAAUGACUUCCACAUUCUAUAUAUGCUCGUGUUAUCCGUUUUACAUAUAACAAAUUCAGAGUUCAAGUUCUCACUUUUUCAUCUACUACUUCUUUGAGACCAUUCUACUACUUUGAAAAGAGACAAUGGAAAAAAAGAAAUUGCAGUUCACAUGUUUCUGGGGCUGAAUUGCUGGAUUAGAAAAAAGUCUAUACAGAAGUUAAACCCAUCAAAUAAUAGAAUUCAGAUUUACCACUUAACCCAAUUAUGGAAUGUCUAUCUACGAUGACAAUUAGUUGACGGAUUUUGAGGAUAUUUCUAAUCAGUUGGUUUUUCAUUUUGAGGGGAUGGUGCUAAUACUAUUCAAGUUCACAUGUUUCUGAGGCUGAAUUGCAGGACUAAAAGGAGUCUGUACUGAAGUUAACCACAUCAAAUGUUUCUAACCCAAUUGGUUUUACAUUUUACAUUUUGAGGAAAUUUCCAAUACUGAUAAUAAUUGCUUGGAUACUAGUUUGAUUGAGGAAAUCAUUCCUAGCUUUGUUGAUGGAUAGAACAAUAAUAUGCUUAAUAUUUUCAAUGAAAAGGAGGUGAGGUGUUGAACAUAGUAGGGAGAUUGGUGUAACUAACUAGUACAUAGAAUAGAUUAACUGAAUCCUAACUAACCUUUAGUUAGUUAUCAAUUGGCUAGAUAGAGGUUCAAGUUAGUUACAAGUUACUUGCUCUAUAAGUUAUCAUAUUCAGGUGUAUGCAUGGAUGAUGAUGAGUAGUGAAAAAUUCUGCAACAUAUCUUUCUUCUUCGAUCUUUCUUUCUGCACUUUUACAUUUUUAGCUUGAUUCUUAACAUGGUAUCAUCGACCCCUGAUCAAGUCUCCACUGUUGCACUCACUUAACUCAUCUCUUCCAUCUUGGUUUUCUCUCAGUUUUCUGCAUUGUUCCAAUUGUGUUUUUCUGUGUUAACCAUGCCAGUUGCAAGCUCUGCAAGCAGCCUCAAUGGCAGAACUCCAUCACAUGCCAAUAACAAAGGUUAUCAAACCGAUACCCUCAAUCCCUAUUUCAUGCAUCCCAAUGAAAAUCCUGCUUUGGUUCUGUUUCCCCUUUGCUUUCAAACAAUAAUUAUCAUUCUUGGGCAAGAUCCAUGGCAAUUGCUCUAAGAUCCAAGAACAAACUUCAUUUUAUCAAUGACAGCUUACCUUGACCACUGGAUGAAGAUCACAAUUCCCUUGCUUGGGAUCGAUGCAACACUAUGACCAUGUCAUGGAUUCACAAUUUUUGAAUCAGAUAUUGCUCAAAGUGUAUUAUGGAUGGAUACUGCAGUUGAAAUUUGGAACGAACUGAGAGACCGUUUUAACCAAGGUGGUGUAUUCAGAAUAUCAAAUCUUCAAGAUGAAAUAUGCAACUUGAAACAAGGUGAUUCAUUUAUUUCUUCUUAUUACACAAAGCUUAAGAAAUUGUGGUAAGAAUUGAACAAUUUUCGUCCAAUUCCCGACUGUUCAUGUGAUGCUACUUGCCAAGCUAUCACCAAGAUUCGUGCAUACAAAGAUGGUGAUCAAGUUAUCAGAUUCCUCAAAAGUCUGAAUGAUCAAUAUUCAGCUGUGAGGUCCCAAAUCAUGCUAAUGGAACCACAUCUAACCAUCUGCAGAGUUUACUCUCUCCUUGUUCAACAUGAAAGACAAGCUAUCUUACCUAUUGAUGAAUCAAAGGUAUUAUCUUUUCCUAAUCUCAGUCAACCUCAAAACCAUACCUCCAAAUCCAAUAUCAAUUCUUGUGGUAGAGGCAUUAGAGGUGAUCGAUCAUUUGGUGGAAGAGGCCGAGGUUCACGAAUUUGCACUCAUUGUGGCAUGGCCAACCACACAGUUGAUUCUUGCUUCAAAAAUCAUGGUUUUCCCCACAUUGGAAGCAAGAUGGCACAAUCAACCGUUAUGCAACUAUUACUGACAAAGUAGAGGAAUCUCAAAUUGAUUUCAAUGGAGUAAAUGAGCAAGUUCAAGGUAACUUGAUUUUCACACCAGUCUAGCAUAAAGCAUUGCUGGCUCUCCUUCAGGGAUCCUCAUCUUCCCAGGCUCACAACAUCAUCAUCUGGCAACUCAACUUGAAAGUGACUCAGGUAUCAUAUGCACUAUUCCUCACCUUCCUAGACCUAAUAACUUUAUACUUGAUACUGGUGCAACUGACCAUGUAUGUCACACAAAAGAUUUUUUUUCAAUGCAUCAAAAUAAUCAAUCCCAUAACCAUCAAAUUGCCAAAUGCAGCACUUGUCACUACUAAUUAUGCUGGAACCAUACACUUUGAUCAAUAUUUAUAUAUCACUGAUGUUUUAUACAUGCCUGAUUUUUCCUUUAAUCUCAUAUUUGUUCCCAAGCUAACCAAAACCUUGAGCUAGCAAUUGAUGUUUAAUGAUACUGAUUGUAUUAUACAGGAUACUCACUCCAAGAAGAUGAAUGGCACAACUAGAUUAAAUGGUGGAUUGUAUAUCUUAGAUUCUCCCUCAGUUACCUUGUAUCACACUCUAUCAACUCACUUUAUUGAUACCUUACAUAAUCACUCUUUAGACACAUCAUAAAAUUGUAAUCUUUGGCACUUAAGGCUUGGCCACCCCUCAGAUACCAAUUUAAUUUAAUUAAAUAAAUGUUUUCCUUUUGUCAAAUCUGUGAAUUCUGCUAUUCCUUGUGAUGUAUGUUUCUAUGGUAAGCCAAAAAGACUUCCAUUUUCCCUUAGUUCUCAUAUUUCUACUUUUGUUUUUGAUUUAGUGCAUAUGGAUAUUUGGUGCCCCUUAUCCACACCAUCUAUGAUGGGAUAUAGACACUUUCUAGUUGUUGUGCAUGAUAAAAGUAGGUUCCCUUGGUUAUUUCUCAUGAGAUUGAUAUCUGAAGCACCGUCCAUCAUGAAAUCAUUUGAUUCAAGUCACUCUUUACUUAAAGUAUAUUUAUAAUUUAAGAGAGGAUAUUGAAUGUAGGGAGAUUUUGAUAAUCUUUUGAUUAACAAAUACAUAAUAUAAACUUUUAUGUAUAGUGGAAGGGCUGCUAGGAACUUAGACUAAAGGGUUGCCACUAAUUGAAUGCUUUCUGACAACAGCUUCAACGAUAAGUCCAUGUGAAGGGCACGAGAAUUCCUUGUGAUUGUGGAUUCCAUCACCUUCUUCAAACAUCACAAAAAAAUGCAACAUACAAAUACAAUUUAAUCGGUGACUAAGACGUUGUUUUGAGUUUUGUUGACUCAUGUAUGGCCUUGUAAUACAUACCAUACCAGGUUUGUAUUAUCAUAUCUAUUAUUAGUAUGUAAUAGACAGAAUCCAUCAAAUUGGAGCAUGGCUUCAUUGGCUUGUGUUUGUGCAUGCAAUGCAAGUAUAUAAGAUGACACAAAAAACAGCAUAUAAAUUCACAAGAAUAUAGUUUGAUUAGAUUCCCAUUCCAUAUUUCCACUUAAGAGGAAACAUCAAAAUUGACCGGAAUUCCUGAUGUACAAAAAUUGUCUCAACUAGUCAAUCUACACUGUUCUAUGCUAACAUUCAAAUGGAUUUUUUGCUGUAUGAAUUCAUUAUAGGUUGUUCAAGCAAGAAGCUGUAUGUAAGAAGAUAUCUUCCUUGCACGGAAUUGUAAGACCGCCCAUUGGAUGACAGUAACCGAAUUCCUCUUCAGCUUGGUUAAGCAAUUCUUGAAAUAAAGGCUCGUUCAAGAAUGAUAUUGGAAUCAAGAACCUCCUUGCUUUCUCUCCAACAUACACCGCAAGAUAGCCUUUUGGGACUUCUACUUGUUUGCUAGAUGAUGAUCGUCUAAUACCAGGUAAGUGAAAACCCAUUCUCGUUUUGUUUCUUGACAAUAGAAUGAUCUCAAAGGAGUAGUAGAAGAAAGAAGUGAACUUGAAUUCUGAUGCUUCAAGGUAUGAAUGGUUUGUGUUGCUUGUAAACCCAAUGAUGGAUAUAUAUAUAGAGAGAGUUUGAAAACCAAUUGUAUAGCGAAUGAGUUAUUGAAUGGGUGUUAGUGGGAGCCAUGGCUCAUUAAUGAUCACAUGGUACUGUCUUGAAGGCUUUCCUAGAGGACCAUAAAAUGUGAGAUUACAUACCCCACCUUUUGAAAAAGAGACUAGAGAUAGCUUACUUAAUAUAAUUCAGACAAGCUCUAAACACAUCAAAUAUCUUGUUCUUGUUUUUGUAAGACAAGUGAUAUCCAUCAGUACAUGAAAUCUAAUCAAUAAACCAUGCAAUCUUCUUGGAAGCUGCUGUAACUUUGUAUGGACAAGCUACUGCCACAUUGUUGAUCUAACCGUAAAAUGUGGCCGAUAUAUCAAUUGGAUAAUUGACAAGGAUCAAACCAUGAACUUUGCUUCCACAGUUGAGCCAAACAUUAACUGAAAUAGUAAAAGUAAGAACAUCUUAAGGUUCUGUUUAUGGGCUUAUGUAAAUUCUUAAAAUUUAAUCUAUGUUAUAAAAUUCUUAAAAUUAGAAGUAUAUUAAUCAUAUAUUAAAGAUUGUUUCCUUUUGAAUCAUUGCUCAACAUUUUAAAAUAGGUUUAUCAAUCAAGUUCUGCUACCAAACUAUUCUUAUAAGCUGCAAAAAUCAUCAAACAUUUAUCUGUUCACGUUAGAAUAGAAUAUCUUUGCAGGGAAAUGUUGCUAGACUUUUCUUCGGAAGACUGCAACUAUUGAAAAGGAUAUAUAUAGGGUUGUUGACAUUAAUAAUUCAGUUUCAGGAUACAGUUUUCUGCUACUUGUGGAUUCAAACGUGUACUACUACUAUCUUCUGGUUAGGAUGACUACUGACCAAUUCCUUGUUACAGGUUCCAUUGUUGCCUCCUAGCAUAUAUGAUUUGUAGCCACUAAUUGGCUUAAAAGUCACCCCUAAGAUGAUUUUUGCUGCUAUAUGUCGACAUUGAGCCGUGUUACCAGUAUGAAGAGAACAUGGCACAUGUCUACAAUACAUGAAUGGCCAUAAAAUAGAUUUCAAGUGAGUGGUCUACAAAAGGUGUGGUGUAUUAUGCACACUCUUAUUCAACUUACUGGUCCUUGAUAGAGAGACAUCAAAUCAUGUGAUCUCUCAUCUCAUGGACCCCAUCAUUUAACACUGUAAAUGCAUUAUCACCCUCCAUAACAAUCAAAACUCAUUUGCAUACUCAACCAUCAAAAGUUAGAUACUUUUUUCUAAUAUUUCAGAGCCUUAUUUGUUCUUUGAAACAUUUGAAAUGGGCUUUCAUUUGCAUGCAAUUAUUGAUGUGCUUCAUUAAGCAGAAGCCGAACAUCAUCGAAGGUACUGAAUAUGCCAAAGGGCUAUCUUGCCGUGUAGGUUGGAGAAGAAAUGAAGUGGUUUGUGAUCCCCAUGUCAUACUUGAACCAAACUUCAUUUCAAGGCUUGUUGAGUCAAGCUGAGGAAGAAUUUGGGUACGAUCAUUCAAUGGGUGGCCUCACAAUUCCUUGCACAGAAGAUGUUUUCUUGCAUAUUACUUCUGGCUUCGACGGACUAUAAAUCUAAAAUUGCAAGAUAUUGACAUAGACUAGUAUUGACAUUUUGUACAAUAGGCAUAUUUUAAACUUGUAAAUAUUUUCCUUAUUCCUUUAUUGGGAAUGGAUGCAAUUUGUCCAUCUGAAUGACAUAAUUUUGAACAACUCAACUCAGCUCCUCUCUGUUUCUGUUUCUGUUGAUGAAUUACUAGACUAGUGAUUUCUUGGAAAAAAGAUGCUAGUUUCAUCCUAAAGUUAUGAUGAGAGAUUGAUACAAAAGUUUUCCAGGUACGACUUUAGCUUCUAAUUUAAGAAAUAUUCAUCAAGCCUGAGCUGAUAAUGGUAUAAUUUCUAUAAAGGUUUUAAAAUGCAGUUGAAUAUUAGAUAUUACAGCGAAUCGUUGUCAAAAUGUGGGUCAUCUAUUUCCUGGUUUUUUCCUCACUACAGAAAAAAUAUCAUCUUAUCUUUAAAGGGUUCUUACUUCUUGCAGUGUCCAAAUCAUACUACAUCAUCACAUGGCUUGUUACUUUGUCAGUUGUUUUAAAACGAGAAAUUCUAGCUACAAACAUAGGUUUCAACUUCAAAAAUUACCCUCAAUCAUCAAUAAGGCCUAAUCAUUUCAUAUCGAACACAAUUAAUUUGUUACUUGUGUAAGAAGUAACUUAACUACCUUAACAAAUUUAAGUAACUUUUGAAUUAUGCUUUAAGUCUCUAAAUUAAGUAUAUUGAGCAUGUUUUUCAUUUCUUUAAACUUAUCAAUCUCCAAUGGUUUUGCUAAAGCAUCUGCAAUUUGAUUAUUAGUUUUGCAGUCUUCCAUUUGCUUACUUGGUUUCUAAAAAGGUGGAAUUUAGUUUCUAUGUGUUUGCUUUUCCUAUGAGAUAUGAGAUAAUUAUUAAAAUCGGUAAACCACUUCUACCAUAAACUCUGCCUUUUCUUCAUUGUCAAUCUUUAUUUCACGGACCAAUGAUUGCAACCAGAUAUCUCGACAGGCUGCAUUGCAAGUUUAGAUGUAUUCAGACUCACAUGACAACAAUGCCAUAAUGAUUUGUUUCUUAGAAUACCGUUGCAAAAGUUAACUUAUCCCAUUAUACUCCUUUCUAUUUUUUCACCACAUUAGUCUGAAUAAAAAAACCAAUUUAUUUGCUUCUCCGACUUUCAUAUUUUUGAAAAAACACCAAAAUCAAUUAUGUCUCGGAGAUAUUGAAUUAUCUUUUUACUCAUUUCAUAUGUGAUAGUUUAGGUUUCUCCAUAAAUCUACUUACUAAUCUUACACUAAAGCAUAAAUCAUGUCUUGAGUUGCAAGUUUGUCUUCUAAUCUAUAAAACGACGAUUCCUUAAAAUAUCAAUAUUGUGAUUCUUCUUAUGACUCAUCAUUCAUCUUCUAAUUUCACAAACUAAUAGCCAACAAUUGUACUUUAAUCCUCUUCAAUAUGUCAUAUCAAACUCAUUAUUUAUAUGCAAUUUGAAGUCUUUAAUCUCAAAUAUAACCACAACUACUACUUUUCAAUUCUUGUUACUAGGGUAAAGAUUUAUGUAUAAUCAAGGUUAUUAUUUUUCAAAAACCCUUUUGCAAUAAGUCUUCCUAAUUCUUUGCAAUGGGGCCAUUUGAUAGGUACUUGAAUUUUUAAAUCUACUUGACUUUUUAUGUGCCGGUAGUGAUACUAGAUUCCAAGUCCAAUUAUGUACUAUUUGAGCGCCUCAGAAAAUUUAGAUUGCGUCUGAAUCUAGCUAAGUGUACAUUUGGGAUCCGAUCAGGGAAGUUAUUUGGUUUCAUUGUUAGUCAACGAGGAAUUGAAGUAGAUCCAGACAAGGUCAGAGCGAUACAAAAAAUUCCAGCUCCACGAACUGAAAAGCAAGUUGGAGGUUUUCUUGGAAGAUUGAACUAUAUUUUCAGGUUUAUUUCCAACAUGACUGCUGUAGCGGUAAAUUCAUGACCAUUAAGCUAUGGAUAAACUUAACGUCAAUAAAACUAGAGUCGGCACCGCACUUUUAUUUUUCCAAAGGAAAAGGGAAAAGUACAAAAAAACCCCAAAGAUAAGAAGUUUUCAAAUAAAAACUAAUAAAAUGCCAGAGAUUACAAGUAAGGGGGUUGGUUACACAAAGGGAAGAUGUUAGCACCCAAGGUACUCUUAGGGAGUCAUUUUUUAUGUGUGUAUGUGUUUUUAGUAUAAAAGAUGUUUGCAAUAAAUAGAGUGUGGGGAUGAGAAAAGAAUUCAUUAAUUAUACUUUUGUGUUUGAGAAGACCUUCAGACUUGUGCCUACGUACCAACAUAAAAAUGAGGGAUCAAAAUCUUGUAGUUCGUGGUAUCAAUUUCAAAAUGAGUGGAUUGCUUUUAAUCAAAAUUAAAGUUUAUAAGAGGCAUAGAAAGGGGCCUAAAAGUUUGAAUGAGUGUUAGUUCUUUUUGUCUUUUGAAAUUUUAAGUCAAUAUGAUUUGAUUUAUUUACAAGUUUGAUUAAGAAAAUAGUUUUAAAAAUGCAAUGACAUAAGGCCGAAGUUUCUAAUUUGCAAUAAAUUCUAAGUUUGAAAUCACAAGCAAAAAAAGUUUUUUAAAAAGGGGGAGAGAUUUUGAAAUUUAAGAAGUGGGAGGAAAUGAAGAGACUAAUCCUAAGCAUAAAAUUAAAAGUUAAUGGUUGAAAAGAUCUAACCAAUGGGAUGCAAUCCAACAGAAAAGAAUGUCAUAUAGAAAACUCACUUUCCCUUUGGACUUUGAAUCAAGCAAUAAUCAGCAAGUAAUUAGCAAUAUCAAGCAAGACAUCAAAUAAAGAUAGUCACAUCCAAGCAAGCAACUUCACAGCUAUCAGUCUUCUUUGCCUUCUCAUGUAUCAGAUGACAUACUCAUUGGCUUUGCUCAGAAUAAGACAUUAGACACAAGUUCAAAGUAACAAUUGCAUCAGAACCAAAUAACAAAUGAAUUCAAGUGGAUCCCAAUACUUGCAUUAGAUGAAAACUCAAAUCACAAUAACUUGGUCUCCGAAAUGUUGGCAUUGACUAAGUCUUUUUUGCAUAUGGAAUGUUGCCUAAUUCUAAGUACAAUAGCUCAGAUCAAAUUCAAUAGUCCACACAAACAUUCUUUAAGGUUUUUGUUGUUUCAUAAGUAUUUUAAGGUCCUAAGACCACAAACACAAACAAAAUAUACAAACAAAUAUAUACAAUCAUAAUAUAUGGCUCAAAUGAGCAAAGUGAAAAUGACAUAAACAUAAACAAGUUAGAUGAUAUGUAAAUGACAAAUGAAAUGGUAAAUGACUUGAAUUUAAAUUGCAUAAAGUAAAUGACUUGAAAAAUAAAAGCAAUAUUAAUACAAGUUAGUCAAAUGUUAGUUGAUUAGAUGUUAGUGAUGUUUUCCUUUUCAAUUGAUUAAGUCAUUCUUUGGAGAACAUUCAACCCUCUAUUCACAAGCAUGGAUCCUUGAACCAAGACAUCUUCCAAAGGAAGGAAAAAAGACCAAGUUUCCACACAAUACCAUGAAAUGGGGGAGACUCACAAUCUCACUUACUAGAAUGCUAUGCCUUUAGGGUCAAAAUUUAGCUCUAUGUUAAGCAAUCGUAAUUUGACUUAUGCAUAAGUCACAACUAUCUGAGGUCGGGUAAUAGAAAUUUUGGCGUCAAUGCAUGUUAGAUAUAUGGUAUAAUGAACCAAACUCCUACAACAUACCACACACAAAAAGAAAAAGAUAAAAGGAUAAACUUAUCUCAUCCAUAAUUGUAUUGGUUCAUCUAACACAAGGUUAUUGAUGAACCAAUUAGCCUUAGGAUAUUGAGAUUUCAUUGAUCAAUGAAAGGGAUGGGAGAGAAUGGGAUUGAAGAUGAAGAGGGAGGGGAUAUGAGAUAAACACAAAUUGGUCAUGGGAGGAAUUUUAUCAAAUUAAAAUCAUUCAUUCAUUUUGGGAGAUGAAAUGUACUUUUCAUCAAUCCCCUAAAUCCAAUGAUUUUAACUCAACAAAAGUUAAAUCAACCUUGACCAAGGCACAAACACAUAGUCAAACAUCACAAGUCAAUAAAAAUGACUCAACAUAAUUUCUACACAAUUAAUCAAUUAAAAAUCAAAUUAAAAAUGCAUUUAAAUUAAAUUUAGUUUGGUCAAAACCUAAAACCUCUUCAAAAUAACAAAUAAAUGGCCAAGAGAUUUAUACUAGGUCAAACAAGGUCAAAGGACCUUACACAAAAAAUUUCAUAAUUUUUGAAAGGUCAGAAGUAUUUUUAAACAAUUAAAAAUAUGCACAAAAACAAUUAAUUCAUGAAAAAUAUCAAAAUUUAUCCAAAAAUUAAUUUUAAUUCAGAAAAUGAGAUAGGAAAAUAUUUAAAUAUUUUUGGUGAAAGUCCCAUGUUUUUUGGAUUAAAAAUGAAAUUGAUAUGAAUUAAUUAAAAUAACACAAUUAAAUGGAAAAUAAGAAAAUAUGAAAAAUCAGUGGUCAUCAGAUCUCCCUCAUUAAUUGAGGUGGCAGGUCUGAUGGCCAAACGCGCGCGUUCCAUGAUGCACUGCAGUCAACGUGUCACACACUUGGUAAUGAGAACCAAUGACUAAGAUUAAAAUAAUUUAAAUGGAUCUUGUGGCUGAGAGGUGUGACAACACACCACCGGAGCUAAGACUUUGGUCUUCUUCUCCGGUGGACCUCACCGGACUGGUCCACCAUCAACCAUCACCAAAAUGAAAAACAAAGACAUAGAUUUAAAGAAAAAUGCUCAGGAGCUCGAAUCUGGCCUCAAUUUUCUCCAAUUACAAGUAUAUAAAAAGAUACAAGGAUUUGAAUUUUGAGGAUCAUGAACUGAGUUGCUUCGAUUUAACCUCAAAGCAACUCAAUCUUCUUGCCUACAUUGGUAGGACUUCAGCCAAGCAAAACUCAUAAAGAAUAGUGAAGAAUUAAGGGAGAAUCGAAGAGAUGAAAAUUCUGGAAAAUUACCUUCGAGGGAGCUUCAAUCUUGCUUGAUCUUGAUUCCAAUUGUGCUUGGAUUUGUUUCAGAAGCUUGUAGGAAGUGAUUAUGUUCAAGAAAUGGCCUGGACUCUUGGAGUUUCAAUCUCAAAACAGAAGGAGAUUUGAAGCUCGAUUUUAAAAUGAAAACCUUCAAGAUUAUCCUUUAAUGGUGAGAGUUUGGAUUGCAGGUUCAAAGCUUGGGCAUGAGGUCCUUAAUUCUGAGUAAUAAGGGUUGUAUUUAUAGCCAAAGAGAUUCAUUUCCACACACUUCCAAAAAUUGCCAAUUUUAGUAAUUCUCUUUGAAUGCUUGCAUGGGUGUGUGAUAGGUCCAUCAAUUGAUGUAUUCAGGUCCAAAAAUGAGUGAGGAUCAUGCUAAAAUCAUGUCAUGUGGCCAUGCAUUUGUGUAUGAAAUGUGGUAGUAAAAAUCAUCCAAAUGGCAUCUCACAUUGCAUCCAUGCGUAAGUCCUUCAUUCUUUGGUCAAAUAAGGUGAUCUUGGACUUUUUGGAAAGGCGAGAUCAAGGGGAACAACUUUUAUGAUGAACACGUUUUUAUUUGAAGCUUGGAUCAUGAUAAAUUUUGAGGUGGAAGUUAGGGAAAUCAAACAUAUUUGAAAAUUUUCUAAGUCCCAAGUCAAAUGUUCACUUCUUCCACCUUGAACAACUUUUUCUAUGGACUUCAAAUGAAAAACAUUCCUUCAUCAAAGUUGUAGCUCUUUCAAAACUAUUAAAUUUGAUCACAAAUUUGACUUUAUUUGGAUUUGUAAUGAAGGAGUUAUGCAUUUUAGAAGUUGAGGAAAAUCACUUGUUCAAUGAUAUUGACCCAAAAUGACCUAUAAUGUUUCCUCUUGGCACAUGCAUUUGCAAGUUGAAUUUGAACUUCCUCCAAAUUUCCGAGUAGUGGUUAGUGACUUAUUUCGUGAGGGACCGACUGUAACGAUUUUGUUAACUUUUUGUGGUGUUAUAAUGAUAGGACAAUUCAUACAAGACAUUAAACAUCAACAACAAAGGAAUAUGGAAUUCUAGACACAAAUAUAAACACCGGAUCAAAUGAUGCAACACUAUGACAAUGGAAAAAGAUUACACAUGUUGCAGUAUCCUUUUGUUGAUGAAACAUGAAAACACAUUGAUCAGAUACAUCUUAGUAACCGGAUCAAAUGAUGCAACACUAUGACAAUGGAAAAAGAUUACACAUGUUGCAGUAUCCUUUUGUUGAUGAAACAUGAAAACACAUUGAUCAGAUACAUCUUAGUUUAAACAUUGAACCACAUAAAUGUGAGACUCCGAUUAUAUUAUGAUGAUUUUACAUCGUAUAUCCAAUUGUUGUUUCGUCAUAUUCUUGUCACUAGUUUGUUUUUAUUUUUUGUUUAUCCGACUUUAAGGUACAUGCAAUUGUUUUUGUAUAAUUUGAUUUUUAUACAUUUUCUAAUUGAGUGAUUAAGUAGGAAAAAAUAAUUUGAGUAGGAGACUUUUAGACAUUAAUUAGUCAAACUUAAAUUAGAUAAUUCUGUAAGUGUUAGAAGAAUUUAUUAAUGAAGAGUAUUAAAUCGAUUACUUUAAGAAAAAUUGAUUAAUAAGACACGGUUAAUUGAUUAAUGAGAAAGGAAUAACUAAUAAUAAGAAUAACAUAAUUGAUUAAUGAGUAAACAAUAGUAAUUUGUAACAGAACAGUAUCAAUUAAUAAAUAAAGAGCAACUAAUAAUAGUAUUGAAUUAAAUUUUUAAACCACUAGAGGACAAACACUAAUUUCAAAAUUAAAAACCACCUGCAUUUAGAAAUUAAUUAGUUAAAGUUAAAUUAGAUAAUUUAUUAAGUGUUAGAAAAAUUUAUUAUUGAAGAGUAUAAAAACGAUUGCUAUAAUUUAAUAGGAUAUUGUUAAUGGAUAAAGAGUAACUAAUAAUAAAGAAUAACUUAUAAUAGUACUAAUCAAUUAAUAAGUAAAGAGUAUUAAUUAUUAGUGAAUGGAUAAUUAAGUAUAAUUAAUAAAAAUAAUAGUAAUGCUAAUUCAAUAAUUAAGUGAUUAAUUAGUUUUCUUACCGCAGAUAGAUUACUAGUUGUAGAAAAUAGUAAGUUUGUAUAGGAGAGCCAAAAAAAAAAAAAAAAAAAAAUUACUAAAGUAUAGUAGUAUACAUGGUGGACCUUGAACUCCUUGAAGAAUUUUGUGUAUAAUUAAUUAGUACUAGUAAUUAAGUGAAGUUGAGGCAAGAGAACGAAUUAAAAAUAGAUGCAGAAUUGAAGAGAGAAAUAAUAAGCAAGGAGAAAUAAUUGUACUACUUACUUUUAGUCCCACAUUGACUGCCUAAUUUCAUUGUUUAGUGUUUAUAUACCAUAGUUAAGAGAACCACUAUCGUCCCUUCGGGGACAUCCGAUAAAAUUGGAACGAUACAGAGAAGAUUAGCAUGGCCCCUGCGCAAGGAUGACACGCACAAAUCGAGAAAUGGUCCAAAUUUUUUUGAGAUUUUUUUCCCUGUCUCGUCUUCUUCGCUGCCGUUCAGACAUUGUUGUUAGGGUUUUGCUUUUCUGCAUUUCCUUUUCUCUUUGAUUUUGAGUUUAGGGUUUUGUUUUCUCUUCAAUGCAGGUGGUGUUCGUGACGACGUGACUCCUAUUUCAACCAAGUAUUAGGGUUUUGUUUUCUGAUUUUUUUUUGACUUUUCUCUCCCGUUCAGAUAUUAUUAGGGUUUUGUUUUCUACAUUUCGUUUUCCUUUUUUCUUUGAUUUUGAGUUUCUUUCAAUGCAGGUGGUGUUCAUGACGAGGUGACUCCUACUUCAACCAAGUAUUAUGUAUGGUUAAAUUCUUGUUCUGAUUUGGUUAUUCUAUCAUUGUUAUGUGUUUGCGAAAACAUAGCUUUCAGUUUUCGUUAUGUAUAGUUAAAUCAUUGUUCUGAUUUGGUUCACCAUAUCGAUCUUCGUUUCAGAAAACAUCAAAUUCACCAUAUAUAUAUAACAUCAUAGCUUUCAGUUUUAUUCUGAUUUGGUUAUGUAUAGAGUUCAUGUGAUAAUGGUCACCACCUUCUUCAACUGUUGGUAGAUUCUUGUCUUAAUUUCAUUUCAAUGCUACUGACUUGCUUCAAAAUUCUGUCACGUGUAAAACAAGUUGAAUUUCUUUUAUAGGUUAUGGUUUUUCUUUAAAGAUUUAUUUCUUUUGAGCUUUGUUGUAUGGUCUCACUACGUAUCCAAUAGAAUAACCAGCCUUGCAUUACCAUAUCUACUAUGUAAGAAUAGUCAGUUUCCAUAAAAUUGGUGCGUUGCAGGGAAUUGUAGACCUUCCAUUGGAUGACAGUAAUCACAUUCCUCUCUAGUAUGGAGUAAUUUACAGUACCAUUGCAUGCAUGCUCAUAAUUCGUCUUUUGAGAGUUUCUCUUGAAAUGCAUGCUGAGUAAAGUACUUCUCACUGGGAGAUUUUACCACUUUUGAGAUGUUUUAACAUGUAGGCAUGUCUGAAACAUAAGAAUCAUGUCAUUGCAAUGGUUUAAAAAUUAGUAGGUUUUGUGGACUGAUUUCAUUUUGUGAAUGGUCACCAUGUUACCACAUCUUCUUAAUGUGGGACAUACAUGUAAAUUACUCUCUCAAUUCUUAAGCAAUUAUUCAAUCUUGACAAAGACCUCUAGACAGUAGUUUGUGAUCUGUUGUGAACCACAGUCUGAUUAUCUCCAACUAGGCUCUUCAAGAAUAAUAAAUAUAUCAACAUUAAGCUGUGUUGUUAAUAGGAAGAGAACAUGUGCCAUGUCUGAUGCAUGUCUGAAAAGAAAUGAGCAGGCAUUGUACAAGCUAGCAUUGAGUUUAACUUGCGCACAUAUCAAUUGAUUUUCAGUGGCUAUGGUUUGCACUCUUGUUGAAUUUAUCUAUACUUGAUAGAUAGAGGCAUCUAAGACAGUACCAUGUGAUCUAUUGUCUCAUGGGACCCAUCAUUUUAACAAUAAUUUCUCAAUCAAAUGGAUUUCAAGAUACUAUUGGAAACUAUAUAUGCACCACCAUCUUCCUUCACAACAUCACAAACCACUCAAGCAAACAAAUUUACAUACACUUUUCUUAAAUCUGAGAAAUUCAGUUUGUUUUUCAAACCAUUACAAGAUGGGUUUCCGAUUACCUUCUAUUAGACGUGCUUCUUUUAUAGGUAGCCAAGCAUCGUCAAAAACUUUGAAUGUGCCAAAAGGUUAUCUUGCUGUGUAUGUUGGAGAGAAAAUGAAGCGCUUUGUUAUUCCUAUGUCUUACUUGAACCAACCUUCAUUUCAAGACUUGUUGGAUGCAGCUGAGGAAGAAUUCGGAUAUGAUCAUCCGAUGGGCGGCCUCACAAUUCCUUGCACGCAAGAUGUUUUCUUGCAUAUUACUUCUCGCUUCAAUGGACUAUAAAUCUAGAGCUGCAAGAUACUGACAUUAGAUUAGCAGUGACAUUUUGUACAACAGUCACAAUUUUAUAUUUGUAUAGAUUUUUCCUUUCCCUACUUUUGGAAUGGGUUAGAAUUGUCCAUCUGAAUGACAAAUUCAGGAACAAAAUAUUUGUUAUUAUUUAUUUCUAAUCAUAAUGAAAUUAUAUUCAACAACGAACGGGUUCCUAUAUGCUUCUAUUUAUAAAUUCUAAUACAGAAAAUAUAUUGUUUAUUAAAAUUCAGUCCAA
Molecule: long non-coding RNA, 20279 nt
Filed under: Lathyrus oleraceus (garden pea)
Lineage: Eukaryota; Viridiplantae; Streptophyta; Magnoliopsida; Fabales; Fabaceae
Source: RNAcentral